This 253-nucleotide ribosomal RNA is filed under the name uncultured bacterium. RNAcentral describes it as "partial 16S ribosomal RNA". It matches the Rfam family "Bacterial small subunit ribosomal RNA", at positions 524 to 776 of the family's 1533-position model. The record is from RNAcentral.
UACAGGGGGUGCAAACGUUGCUCGGAAUUAUUGGGCGUAAAGCGCGCGUAGGCGGCCACUUAAGUCGGAUGUGAAAGCCCCUGGCUCAACUGGGGAAGUGCACCCGAAACUGAAUGGCUUGAGUGCGAAAGAGGGUCGCGGAAUUCCCGGUGUAGAGGUGAAAUUCGUAGAUAUCAGGAGGAACACCGGUGGCGAAGGCGACUUCCUGGACACCAACUGACGCUGAGACGCGAAAGCGUGGGGAGCAAACAGG